Molecule: non-coding RNA, 48 nt
Filed under: Schistosoma haematobium
Lineage: Eukaryota; Metazoa; Platyhelminthes; Trematoda; Strigeidida; Schistosomatidae
Source: RNAcentral
ACUCAGCUGACCAGUCCCAAAUAGGGCGAAAUUCGUGUCAAACUGGAU